GCAAUACUACGUCCCCUUGAGGGGCAAAGUAAACGAUGAUCCGGGAGGAACUCUCGGGUAAAAUAUGUAUCAAACUGAAAAUUCACUCGUCUUGGGUAGCAAACUAUCUGAGGCGGGGUUGUUU
Molecule: regulatory RNA element, 124 nt
Rfam family: Enterobacteria greA leader
Source: Rfam